This 370-nucleotide ribosomal RNA is filed under the name uncultured Glomeromycotina. RNAcentral describes it as "LSU rRNA". The record is from RNAcentral. Lineage: Eukaryota; Fungi; Glomeromycota.
UUGAAAGGGAAACGAUUGAAGUCAGUCGUACCGACGGAGGAUCAACCUUUGAAAGCGGGUCGAGGUAUUCGAGGAGUUUAAAAGCCCUCUUGCGCUCACGUACUUCGUUUUCUUUGGUGCACUUCUUCGUAUGGUAGGUUAACAUCAAUUUUGGACGUUACAAAAUGACCGGGGGAAUGUAGCUUCGAUUUUUUCGAAGUGUUAUAGACCUUGGUAGAUGUGACGACCGGGAUUGAGGAUUGCAACGAAUGCUUUCGGGCUAUCCGUCUGACCUCUGGUGGUUGCUUUAGGGUCGAAAGCGUGCUUACGACUUUAAAGUUGGCUAUCAAAAGGCUAGAACGUGAUUAAAUUCGUUAAGGAUGUUGACGUA